Molecule: ribosomal RNA, 253 nt
Filed under: uncultured bacterium
Lineage: Bacteria
Description: partial 16S ribosomal RNA
Rfam family: Bacterial small subunit ribosomal RNA
Source: RNAcentral
UACGUAGGGUCCGAGCGUUGUCCGGAAUUACUGGGCGUAAAGGGCUCGUAGGUGGCCAACUAAGUCAGACGUGAAAUCCCUCGGCUUAACCGGGGAACUGCGUCUGAUACUGGAUGGCUUGAGUUCGGGAGAGGGAUGCGGAAUUCCAGGUGUAGCGGUGAAAUGCGUAGAUAUCUGGAGGAACACCGAUGGCGAAGGCAGCCAUCUGGACCGACACUGACGCUGAGGCGCGAAAGCGUGGGGAGCAAACAGG